Long non-coding RNA from Haliotis rufescens (red abalone), 255 nucleotides. RefSeq lists it as uncharacterized. Lineage: Eukaryota; Metazoa; Mollusca; Gastropoda; Lepetellida; Haliotidae. The record is from RefSeq and is a predicted model, not a curated record. The transcript has 3 exons.
AAACAAACUACAACAGACGUGUACUAUUGCGUGUCAUAACAGUUUCAGAUUUGUUUUCAGAUCCUAAAAGAGAUUGAUGGGGCUGGGAUUUACGUCCGUUCUUUUAGCAGUGAGCGUACACUAUGCGUGCUGCUGUCAUCGACGGCGUCCACCUCCAUCUCCACCAACUCCAUGGAGCCCAAGUAUAAAUACAAAUUAUUUUGCCGACAAAAGAAAGGUUACAGCCAAUGUAAAGUGGCCCGUUCAAUCAAACAG